This 432-nucleotide ribosomal RNA is filed under the name uncultured bacterium. RNAcentral describes it as "bacterial SSU rRNA". It matches the Rfam family "Bacterial small subunit ribosomal RNA", at positions 338 to 784 of the family's 1533-position model. The record is from RNAcentral.
CCUACGGGGGGCAGCAGUGGGGAAUAUUGGACAAUGGGGGAAACCCUGAUCCAGCGACGCCGCGUGAGUGAAGAAGUAUUUCGGUAUGUAAAGCUCUAUCAGCAGGGAAGAAAAAAAUGACGGUACCUGACUAAGAAGCCCCGGCUAACUACGUGCCAGCAGCCGCGGUAAUACGUAGGGGGCAAGCGUUAUCCGGAUUUACUGGGUGUAAAGGGAGCGUAGACGGCAGGGCAAGUCUGAUGUGAAAGGUCGGGGCCCAACCCCGGGACUGCAUUGGAAACUGUCCGGCUGGAGUACAGGAGAGGUAAGUGGAAUUCCUAGUGUAGCGGUGAAAUGCGUAGAUAUUAGGAGGAACACCAGUGGCGAAGGCGGCUUACUGGACUGUAACUGACGUUGAGGCUCGAAAGCGUGGGGAGCAAACAGGAUUAGAUA